GGUGAGAUGGCCGAGCGGUCUAAGGCGCCAGACUAAGGUUCAUAUUCCCUCUUCGGUGGGAUUCGAACUCGGAAUCUGGUCCGAAAGGGCGUGGGUUCGAAUCCCACUCUCAUCA
This is a transfer RNA of Fomitopsis pinicola, 115 nucleotides long. It matches the Rfam family "tRNA". Rfam says of the family: Transfer RNA (tRNA) molecules are approximately 80 nucleotides in length. Their secondary structure includes four short double-helical elements and three loops (D, anti-codon, and T loops). NCBI's taxonomy places the organism in Eukaryota, Fungi, Basidiomycota, Agaricomycetes, Polyporales, Fomitopsidaceae. The record is from Rfam.